This 367-nucleotide unclassified non-coding RNA is filed under the name uncultured fungus. Its description in RNAcentral is "sequence contains ITS1". The stretch from base 1 to 107 matches the Rfam family "5.8S ribosomal RNA", at positions 50 to 154 of the family's 154-position model. Lineage: Eukaryota; Fungi. The record is from RNAcentral.
AAAAUGCGAUACUUGGUGUGAAUUGCAGAAUCCCGUGAACCAUCGAGUUUUUGAACGCAAGUUGCGCCCGAAGCCAUUCGGCCGAGGGCACGUCUGCCUGGGCGUCACGCAUCGCGUCGCCCCAGACCAUGCUCCCCUUGUUGGGACGUGUUUGGUCUGGGACGGAGACUGGUCUCCCGUGCCGAUGGCGCGGUUGGCCUAAAAAAGAGUCCCCUUGGCGGACGCACGGCUAGUGGUGGUUGUCAAGGCCUUCGUAUCGAGCCGUGUUGAUGCUAGGGAAUUGCUCUCUAAAAGACCCUAAUGUGUUGUCUUACGACGAUGCUUCGACCGCGACCCCAGGUCAGGCGGGACUACCCGCUGAGUUUAA